This 348-nucleotide long non-coding RNA is filed under the name Phoenix dactylifera (date palm). Its description in RNAcentral is "long non-coding RNA (PDAC_LNC015740)". The record is from RNAcentral. Lineage: Eukaryota; Viridiplantae; Streptophyta; Magnoliopsida; Arecales; Arecaceae.
AAAUUUCUCAUACAAGCAAAAUGAACCUAUUCAGCAUCAAGGUGGUCCACCAGAUUUUCAGAAGAAUUUUUCCAGGAUAGGUCCAUCACAAAUAAACCAAUCAUUGGCUCCACCUAUUUCUACUUAUAGUGCCCCUAUCCCUCAGCAAACUACAUCAUUGGAAGCCAUGAUGGCUAACAUGAUGAAGCAACAACAAGACUUCAUCCAACAACAACAACAGACCAACAUGGCUUAAACCCAUACUAACCAAUUCCAUGCGCAAGCGAUUGCAAAACUUGAGGUUAGUCUGAGCCAAAUAGCCAACUCUCUAGGGGAUAGGAAGAAAGGUGAAUUGCCCAGUCAGCCAGU